RNAcentral lists this unclassified non-coding RNA (345 nucleotides) under Hevea brasiliensis (rubber tree). Lineage: Eukaryota; Viridiplantae; Streptophyta; Magnoliopsida; Malpighiales; Euphorbiaceae. The record is from RNAcentral.
CUUGGAUUUAACAGGUAAUAACAUUGAUACUUGCAAAACUGAUUUAGCAAAGUAUUGUAAGUUUUAAGCAUUGGUCAAUUUCACUUUGCUUAAACAUUAUUUUGAUUGCACUUACAGUUUUUGUCUCUCAACUACAGAAAAUCACAAUAUAUGUAAUUUUUUUUGUGGUACCCAUUAUAGAAUCCAGUUAUUCCAUAUCACAUGAAGUAGUAUCUAAUUUAAAAAAUAUUUUAGCAACUCUUUAAAAGAGGUGAAAAAGCAAAGGAAAGAGUGCAAAUAAAUCAAUAGACUAUAUAUAUGUUGCUUUGAUGUGUUAUAUAUUGCACUUCUCUAAAUGUUGUAUGG